CGACGGGGAUGGUACAUGCGAGGGAGUAGUUUACUAUGACCAGACAAGUGCCAUCCUAGUGGCGGACGGGUGAGUAACGCGUGGGCAACCUGCCCUGUACAGGGGGAUAACACUUAGAAAUAGGUGCUAAUACCGCAUGAGCGCACAAAGGCGCAUGCCUAUGUGCGGGAAGCCCGCGAGGGCGGUACGGGAUGGGCCCGCGUCUGAUUAGCCAGUUGGCAGGGUAACGGCCUACCAAAGCGACGAUCAGUAGCCGGCCUGAGAGGGUGGACGGCCACAUUGGGACUGAGACACGGCCCAAACUCCUACGGGAGGCAGCAGUGGGGGAUAUUGCACAAUGGGGGAAACCCUGAUGCAGCGACGCCGCGUGAGUGAAGGAGCGUUUCGGCGCGUAAAGCUCUAUCAGCAGGGAAGACAAACUGCCCCGGAAGGGGCAGCCGGACGGUACCUGACCAAGAAGCCCCGGCUAACUACGUGCCAGCAGCCGCGGUAAUACGUAGGGGGCAAGCGUUAUCCGGAUUUACUGGGUGUAAAGGGAGCGUAGACGGCAAGACAAGCCUGGAGUGAAAGGCGGGGGCCCAACCCCCGGACUGCUCUGGGAACUGUCUGGCUGGAGUGCAGGAGGGGUAAGUGGAAUUCCUAGUGUAGCGGUGAAAUGCGUAGAUAUUAGGAGGAAACACCAGUGGCGAAGGCGGCUUACUGGACUGUAACUGACGUUGAGGCU
This 724-nucleotide ribosomal RNA is filed under the name uncultured bacterium. RNAcentral describes it as "bacterial SSU rRNA". It matches the Rfam family "Bacterial small subunit ribosomal RNA", at positions 40 to 753 of the family's 1533-position model. The record is from RNAcentral.